CAGGCCUAAUACAUGCAAGUCGGACGGAGUGGCGCACGGGUGCGUAACGCGUGAGCAACCUACCCAUAUCAGGGGGAUAGCCCGAAGAAAUUCGGAUUAACACCGCAUGGAUAUGGAUGGGCUCGCGUGACAUUAGCUAGUUGGUGGGGUAACGGCCCACCAAGGCGACGAUGUCUAGGGGCUCUGAGAGGAGAAUCCCCCACACUGGUACUGAGACACGGACCAGACUCCUACGGGAGGCAGCAGUAAGGAAUAUUGGUCAAUGGGGGCAACCCUGAACCAGCCAUGCCGCGUGCAGGACGACUGCCUAUGGGUUGUAAACUGCUUUUGCCAGGGAAUACGUACCUGGAGAAUAAGGAUCGGCUAACUCCGUGCCAGCAGCCGCGGUAAUACGGAGGAUCCGAGCGUUAUCCGGAUUUAUUGGGUUUAAAGGGUGCGUAGGCGGCACUUUAAGUCAGGGGUGAAAUACGGCAGCUCAACUGUCGCAGUGCCCUUGAUACUGAAGUGCUUGAAUGCGGUUGAAGACGGCGGAAUGAGACAAGUAGCGGUGAAAUGCAUAGAUAUGUCUCA
RNAcentral lists this ribosomal RNA (570 nucleotides) under uncultured bacterium. RNAcentral describes it as "bacterial SSU rRNA". It matches the Rfam family "Bacterial small subunit ribosomal RNA", at positions 43 to 703 of the family's 1533-position model. The record is from RNAcentral.